Non-coding RNA from Triticum aestivum (bread wheat), 162 nucleotides. The record is from Rfam. Lineage: Eukaryota; Viridiplantae; Streptophyta; Magnoliopsida; Poales; Poaceae.
UUACUUACCUGGAUGGGGUAUAUGGGUGAACAAUAAGUCUCGUGGCCUAGAUCAUUUGCUCACGUUGCUCUUUGUGAGCGUGUUGAUCUACCAUCUCCUUUUGUUGGGAGAGUGGACGUCAUAACUUGUGCGAGAGAGGGUACGUGUUUGCGCGGCUCCUAA